UAAAAAGGUUCAAAGGCGAAAUACGCGAUGUCUUGUCGCUUCAUCUACAGUACAUCCUGUAAGUCGCAACGCCUUUGUGACCAGCAUCCUGUUGA
Molecule: small RNA, 95 nt
Filed under: Lederbergia galactosidilytica
Lineage: Bacteria; Bacillati; Bacillota; Bacilli; Caryophanales; Bacillaceae
Description: Bacillus galactosidilyticus Bacillaceae-1 RNA
Rfam family: Bacillaceae-1 RNA
Source: Rfam by way of RNAcentral